AUGAAGGAAACCUCUGAAGCCUUGGUGUGUCCUGCAACUCAAGAUGGUAGAAUCGGCGUGUUUAUUCCCUGAUGACAACCAACCAUGGGUAACCCUAGGUACCCCUGGUGUUCAUAUAAACCACAGGGUUUAGUUCGUAGGUGGAAGAAUCAUUAUCCUACUCAUCUAGGAUUUAGUUCAUCUCAUCACGUGGUAGAUCGACUCCAUAAUUGUAAUACACAUAUCAAUAUAAUCAAUUAAUAUGUAUGGUUUUACCUCUUCGAGAGGGCACGAACCUGGGUAAAUACUAUCCGUGUGUUUCCUAU
This 305-nucleotide long non-coding RNA is filed under the name Hordeum vulgare. RNAcentral's name for it is "long non-coding RNA (HVUL_LNC016294)". Lineage: Eukaryota; Viridiplantae; Streptophyta; Magnoliopsida; Poales; Poaceae. The record is from RNAcentral.